This 2849-nucleotide ribosomal RNA is filed under the name Salmonella enterica subsp. enterica serovar Enteritidis. RNAcentral's name for it is "bacterial LSU rRNA". It matches the Rfam family "Bacterial large subunit ribosomal RNA". The record is from RNAcentral. Lineage: Bacteria; Pseudomonadati; Pseudomonadota; Gammaproteobacteria; Enterobacterales; Enterobacteriaceae.
GGGUUGUGAGGUUAAGCGACUAAGCGUACACGGUGGAUGCCCUGGCAGUCAGAGGCGAUGAAGGGCGUGCUAAUCUGCGAUAAGCGCCGGUAAGGUGAUAUGAACCGUUAUAACCGGCGAUACCCGAAUGGGGAAACCCAGUGUGAUUCGUCACACUAUCAUUAACUGAAUCCAUAGGUUAAUGAGGCGAACCGGGGGAACUGAAACAUCUAAGUACCCCGAGGAAAAGAAAUCAACCGAGAUUCCCCCAGUAGCGGCGAGCGAACGGGGAGGAGCCCAGAGCCUGAAUCAGCAUGUGUGUUAGUGGAAGCGUCUGGAAAGGCGCGCGAUACAGGGUGACAGCCCCGUACACAAAAGCGCAUGUGCUGUGAGCUCGAUGAGUAGGGCGGGACACGUGGUAUCCUGUCUGAAUAUGGGGGGACCAUCCUCCAAGGCUAAAUACUCCUGACUGACCGAUAGUGAACCAGUACCGUGAGGGAAAGGCGAAAAGAACCCCGGCGAGGGGAGUGAAAAAGAACCUGAAACCGUGUACGUACAAGCAGUGGGAGCNNNNNNNNNNNNNNNNNNNNNNNNNNNNNGGGCGUUAAGUUGCAGGGUAUAGACCCGAAACCCGGUGAUCUAGCCAUGGGCAGGUUGAAGGUUGGGUAACACUAACUGGAGGACCGAACCGACUAAUGUUGAAAAAUUAGCGGAUGACCUGUGGCUGGGGGUGAAAGGCCAAUCAAACCGGGAGAUAGCUGGUUCUCCCCGAAAGCUAUUUAGGUAGCGCCUCGUGAAUUCAUCUCCGGGGGUAGAGCACUGUUUCGGCUAGGGGGCCAUCCCGGCUUACCAACCCGAUGCAAACUGCGAAUACCGGAGAAUGUUAUCACGGGAGACACACGGCGGGUGCUAACGUCCGUCGUGAAGAGGGAAACAACCCAGACCGCCAGCUAAGGUCCCAAAGUCAUGGUUAAGUGGGAAACGAUGUGGGAAGGCCCAGACAGCCAGGAUGUUGGCUUAGAAGCAGCCAUCAUUUAAAGAAAGCGUAAUAGCUCACUGGUCGAGUCGGCCUGCGCGGAAGAUGUAACGGGGCUAAACCAUGCACCGAAGCUGCGGCAGCGACACUGUGUGUUGUUGGGUAGGGGAGCGUUCUGUAAGCCUGCGAAGGUGGCCUGUGAGGGUUGCUGGAGGUAUCAGAAGUGCGAAUGCUGACAUAAGUAACGAUAAAGCGGGUGAAAAGCCCGCUCGCCGGAAGACCAAGGGUUCCUGUCCAACGUUAAUCGGGGCAGGGUGAGUCGACCCCUAAGGCGAGGCCGAAAGGCGUAGUCGAUGGGAAACGGGUUAAUAUUCCCGUACUUGGUGUUACUGCGAAGGGGGGACGGAGAAGGCUAUGUUGGCCGGGCGACGGUUGUCCCGGUUUAAGCGUGUAGGUGUGUGUUCCAGGUAAAUCCGGUUCACUUUAACACUGAGGCGUGACGACGAGGCACUACGGUGCUGAAGCAACAAAUGCCCUGCUUCCAGGAAAAGCCUCUAAGCAUCAGGUAACAUCAAAUCGUACCCCAAACCGACACAGGUGGUCAGGUAGAGAAUACCAAGGCGCUUGAGAGAACUCGGGUGAAGGAACUAGGCAAAAUGGUGCCGUAACUUCGGGAGAAGGCACGCUGACACGUAGGUGAAGUGAUUUACUCAUGGAGCUGAAGUCAGUCGAAGAUACCAGCUGGCUGCAACUGUUUAUUAAAAACACAGCACUGUGCAAACACGAAAGUGGACGUAUACGGUGUGACGCCUGCCCGGUGCCGGAAGGUUAAUUGAUGGGGUCAGCGCAAGCGAAGCUCCUGAUCGAAGCCCCGGUAAACGGCGGCCGUAACUAUAACGGUCCUAAGGUAGCGAAAUUCCUUGUCGGGUAAGUUCCGACCUGCACGAAUGGCGUAAUGAUGGCCAGGCUGUCUCCACCCGAGACUCAGUGAAAUUGAACUCGCUGUGAAGAUGCAGUGUACCCGCGGCAAGACGGAAAGACCCCGUGAACCUUUACUAUAGCUUGACACUGAACAUUGAGCCUUGAUGUGUAGGAUAGGUGGGAGGCUUUGAAGUGUGGACGCCAGUCUGCAUGGAGCCGACCUUGAAAUACCACCCUUUAAUGUUUGAUGUUCUAACGUGGACCCGUUACCCGGGUUGCGGACAGUGUCUGGUGGGUAGUUUGACUGGGGCGGUCUCCUCCUAAAGAGUAACGGAGGAGCACGAAGGUUGGCUAAUCCUGGUCGGACAUCAGGAGGUUAGUGCAAUGGCAUAAGCCAGCUUGACUGCGAGCGUGACGGCGCGAGCAGGUGCGAAAGCAGGUCAUAGUGAUCCGGUGGUUCUGAAUGGAAGGGCCAUCGCUCAACGGAUAAAAGGUACUCCGGGGAUAACAGGCUGAUACCGCCCAAGAGUUCAUAUCGACGGCGGUGUUUGGCACCUCGAUGUCGGCUCAUCACAUCCUGGGGCUGAAGUAGGUCCCAAGGGUAUGGCUGUUCGCCAUUUAAAGUGGUACGCGAGCUGGGUUUAGAACGUCGUGAGACAGUUCGGUCCCUAUCUGCCGUGGGCGCUGGAGAACUGAGGGGGGCUGCUCCUAGUACGAGAGGACCGGAGUGGACGCAUCACUGGUGUUCGGGUUGUCAUGCCAAUGGCACUGCCCGGUAGCUAAAUGCGGAAGAGAUAAGUGCUGAAAGCAUCUAAGCACGAAACUUGCCCCGAGAUGAGUUCUCCCUGAGACUUAGAGUCUCCUGAAGGAACGUUGAAGACGACGACGUUGAUAGGCCGGGUGUGUAAGCGCAGCGAUGCGUUGAGCUAACCGGUACUAAUGAACCGUGAGGCUUAACCUUACAACGCCGAAG